GUUUGCCAUCGGUCCCGCUGCCUGAAGACUCAGGCACAGUGCAGAACAAGAUGCUUUGUCUUAUUCCUCCACUCACCGAGUCAGAAGAGGUGCUUGGACAUUUGCACCAAGCAGAUGCGCCUCAUAUGUAGAAGAGGAACCAGUCGGGUCCCCUUUCGGAAGGACGAAUGGAAGAGGAAGUCAGGGGACGAUGCCUUCAGCCGACGUUGAGGAACAAACCAGGACCUCGGCGAGGACAGCGUGUGGUCCAGAAGGCAUCGCUGGCCUCGCUGCACUGAGCGAGAGCGCUCAGUUAACAGCCAGGAGGAGAAAUGGGACGCUUCGGGACCCACCCCCGCGCUCCCCCUCCCGCCCCCAAACUGCAGAUUUUUAAGUUGUGCAGACGUGGAACAAUUCCUCGGAGCCAGCUGCUCCAAGCUAAGGCGCCCAGUGUUCCCUGGGUUCCUACCCGCAGCAUACGCCCUGCCAGCUGCCCCCAAGCCAGCACCCGCUGACCACUCACCUCAGGCAAGCACCUAGGAAGACGAUGCAGAUUCAAGCUCCAGACCUUGAGCCAAGCGCUGGGGAGGGAAUGGGGGCAAAGAGAUGGUGGAAAACACUUUCCUGAACUUACUGAAUACCCUAUGUUAUGUGUGGGUUUUCUAAUUGUUCUUUGCUUAAUGAAAAACCCACGUUGGAAAUCAGAAAAAGGCAGUAAUCCUCACCGUAUCUUGUGGGCUUCAAAGAGGAGGUUUUCCCCUUAAAGGGAGUUUUGGUCCAGAGGAGAGGCUAACAGCAGGCAGGAAGGGCAGAGGAAAAGAUAAAGCCUAGGGUGGUCUUCCCCCUGAGGCCUGGAGCCCACCAAGCUCCAACAGUUUCAUUUGGCUUCUGGGAAGCAAAGUACAGAUGCAUGUGUCUGCAGAGCACUGUUCUGAGCCAUUUGUCCCUAAUUCCAUGGUUCUUUGGUUCCUCCAAUCUUGUCUCCUCUCCUGUGGAAGAGGAUCCAAAGCAUUGGUCCACACUGCUAUUUACAAGUGGCUGAAGAAGGUAACUUUCUUACAUAGUUCAUCUUUAGCAUAAGCUCUAAGAUUGUUCUAAAAAUAUAUUUACAUUUUAUCAACACCUUAGAAGAAUGCUUCCAGAUCUCUCCCAGCAGUUACCUAUUUAAUCAUUUUAAAAUCACUAAGUUUAUCCAAAAAGUCCAGCAUGGUUUACUUGAGAAGGAAAUAUGUUCAGAAUCUCUAAGCACUGCAGAAGGCACCUGCAGUGCAGAAGAGUUGGCAGUGAGGUCUUUCUCCUGGGGUCUGGGCGGAACAUGUGAGCAGUCGGGAAGGCACACACAGUGGGAGCCAGUAAGGGCCCCUGUGCAUCUGCAGGAGCUGAGGACAGAAGGGGUGGGCCUCCACGGUGGGCAUGUAGGAGUGGGCACAGAGAAGGGCCACAGAUCUGAGACAGAGACAGACAGGACUUCUUACCCUGCUGAGCCCUGCAGGGAGCCACUUCGUCUUUCAGCCCUGAUUUUGUCAUCUGUAAGGAAAUUUCCUCUCUCCCAGGGUAAUCAUGUGAAGCCAAUGAAAUAAUAAAAAGGACCACAUCGGAUGACCCCUGAGGCAGGUCUGCUCCCCAAAAGUUUACUCUUGAAUGUUGACCAAGGUUGAGCUAGGCAAAGUGGUAAAUUCACACACACGGUAUGUAGCCCCUUCCCCAACCCCAGUCUCCAUUACCGGGGGCAUGCUGUGAACUAACUGCCUCCUUUUCCCCACACACCCACUUCCUGCCCAGUCUUUAUGCCUCCCGAUAUGACAUCCCGUUCCCUCUUAAUUAACUGUGCCUAUAGAGAAACAUCUAGAUAAACCAUGCAUUUAAUCUGUGAGGGGUCAAUCAUUUAAUCAUCGUUGACAAUAAUGCUCACUCCUCUGUGGUUUCAGAGGACUCCUGGAGUGGAUGGAGACACAUGCCACUAAUGUGGGAUGCAUUUCAGUCUGUCUUCCAGGCCUCGUUUGGAGGUCUCCCUCUCUUACCCACCUAUCACACAUCCAUGUCUUCCCUUCCCUCCCCAGAGCCAAACCUGUCCCCGACUUUUUAUUCUCACUAAAGUUCAAAUGACAGAAAUCAGCUAGAUUAGUACUUGCCUUAGUCCUGAAGGAAAGGGAAGUGCUCAUUAGCUUCUUAAAUUGGAACAGGUCUGCAGGUGAAAAUGAAGAUGUGCUCAUCUCUGGCAGGAAGGUUGGGAGUGAGGGGUAUAGUCAUAAUGAGCAGCGUUUAUUUGGUGUGUGCCUCUCACUUGCCACUUUCUACCCAGCUGCCUGAAUAUCACUCCAGUUAGUCUGAGCACAUGAAACACCUGCAACUCCCCAGACCCACCAUGCUUUUUCUUGACUCUCUGAAUGCACAGCAGUGCCUCCUCAGCUAAGAACACAGUUCCCCAUCACCAAGCUUUGCUUUGCCCAACAGACCCCUUCUCCCUUAGGAUGAGAUUCAGUGGAUAAUCACAUCAUAAUCACGACCCUCUGGGAAGCCGCCUCUCUCAUCCUGGGUUGUGUGUUGUGUGUUUCCUUUCCACACUCCCUCAGCAGCCUUUGCCUCCCACUUUCAUAGAAUCUACCAUAUGGGAUUUUAACUGUUUGUCUUCCACUAGACAAUAAGCUCCUUGAAGACUGAAUUUCCAGGAACUUCUGUUGGAUCUGCAUGUUUGUGAAGUGAAUUACUGAAGGCUGCCCAGUUUCAUCUGAUCCUAGUCAAAACCUAAAUCCCUUAUUUCUACGCUACCUUUUGCCAGCACCUGAAAAUGAUGCCAGGUUUCUGGAAUCCACGGCAGCAAUGGGUGAUAAGUCUCCAGCAUCUGGGUGACAGCAGACUGACUCUGCUCUCAAGUCUCAUUAAUCCACAUUUGAUCUCCCAGCGGUCCACAACUGUCACUUGCCCCGUCACUUGCUGGUCUGUGGCUAAAGAAACCUAGC
RNAcentral lists this long non-coding RNA (2939 nucleotides) under Homo sapiens (human). RNAcentral's name for it is "HSALNT0028134". The record is from RNAcentral. Lineage: Eukaryota; Metazoa; Chordata; Mammalia; Primates; Hominidae.